Molecule: ribosomal RNA, 486 nt
Filed under: uncultured bacterium
Lineage: Bacteria
Description: bacterial SSU rRNA
Rfam family: Bacterial small subunit ribosomal RNA
Source: RNAcentral
GACGAACGCUGGCGGCGUGCUUAACACAUGCAAGUCGAACGGAGCCUAUCGAAUGAAGUUUUCGGAUGGAAUUUGAGAAAGCUUAGUGGCGGACGGGUGAGUAACGCGUGAGCAACCUGCCCUUCGAGAGGGGGGAUAACACCGGGGAAACUGGUGCUAAUACCGCAUAACGUAACGGAGCCGCAUGACUCUGUUACCAAAGGAGCAAUCCGCUCGAAGAUGGGCUCGCGUCUGAUUAGCUAGUUGGUGAGGUAACGGCCCACCAAGGCGACGAUCAGUAGCCGGACUGAGAGGUUGAACGGCCACAUUGGGACUGAGACACGGCCCAAACUCCUACGGGAGGCAGCAGUGGGGAAUAUUGGGCAAUGGGGGAAACCCUGACCCAGCAACGCCGCGUGGAGGAAGAAGGUUUUCGGAUCGUAAACUCCUGUCCUCAGGGAAGAGCAGAAGACGGUACCUGAGGAGGAAGCCCCGGCUAACUACGUG